Long non-coding RNA from Macaca mulatta (Rhesus monkey), 1672 nucleotides. The record is from Ensembl. Lineage: Eukaryota; Metazoa; Chordata; Mammalia; Primates; Cercopithecidae.
AUGCGAGACAGUUUCCCCCUCACUGUGCUGGAGGGAGAAGACCCUGGGAUUUCUGAGCGAGGCCCAUGGAUGUUGAAGUCUUCCGGGGUCCCCGACUCCAUGCUCUCGCGCCCCAGUUACUAUGACGCCCUGCACAGCCGCAGCUCGGGGCACGCCCAGCGCCCUGCAGGACACUCGGCCUCCCCGGCUCAGCAUCUGCUUCGAGGGGCCCCCUCUGAGGCGGCGGGGUGGCGUGGUGGAUCACCGAGAUGUCAUCUUGGCCCACCAGGCCCACAAAAUCCACAGCACCCCCCAGGCCAGGAGGAAAGAAUGGGAGUGAGUAUGCCCGGGUGGUGGUGUUGGGGCGGGGUGGCCGGGGCGUGCGGCUGUACUGGGGAUCCCUUAGGGGUUAGGAUGUUUUUGGCAGGCUUUUUGGGGAGCAAAUUCAUGCAGAUGGAACACAUUGAUAAGGCUGUGCUGGCUUCUGAAAUCUCAAAAUCCUUCCCUGCUAAUUGAUCAAUAAUGGUUGCCUUAAGCCCCCUGGGCACCCCCAUCCGGCUCUGCAGAUCCCUGAGCUGCCUCACCCUGGGGCAACAAAGAGAUUAACCAUGGAUGUGGCAGCCAGGACCCAGCUCCCAGGAUUGUGAGUGUCCGCUCUGAUAGGUUGGCAAAUCUUCCUUCCUUCCUUCCUUCCUUCCUUCCUUCCUUCCUUCCUUCCUUCCUUCCUUCCUUCCUUCCUUCCUCCCUCCCUCCCUCCCUCCCUCCCUCCCUUUCCUUCUUUCUUUCUUUUUUUUUUUUUGAUGGAAUCUUGCUCUAUCACGCAGGCUGGAGUGCAGUGGCCUGAUCUUGGCUCACCACAACCUCUGCCUCCUGGGUUGAAGAGAUCCUCCUGCCUCAGCCUCCCAAGUAGCUGGGACCACAGGCACACGCCACCACGCCCAGCUAAUUUUUGUAUUUUUAGUAAAGACGGUGUUUCACCAUAUUGGUCAGGCUGUUCUCAAACUCCUAACCCCAAGUGAUCCACCCGCCUUGGCCUCCCAAAGUGCUAGAAUUACAGGCGUAAGCCACCGCACUCAGCCAGCAAAUGUUUCUGUUGAGAUGGCUGAGAAAUGCUGCUUUCUGGGGAAAAAGUGGGAAUCCCAUUUCUACUUCCAGUGUUGAGUUGAAAUCUGAGGGUUUAAGGGCUGGAGACAGAAGUGUGUGAAGGCAGAGCGGGACCUGGAUAGGGCUGAGAGUACGUGGUGGCGUCAGUUGAGUCUGGUCCUGGGUUCCCCUUUUUCUUUGUCAGUGACCCCAGCAGUGGGUCUUCUGGUGGGAGACAGUGGGGGUGGAACUGGCUCCGUCGUGUAGUUGCUGCUGGGCAAUGUUGGAUGAACGGCUUUCCUGAGCUGUUGCCGGGCAGCUCCUAAGAACUUGGGGUCUUGGCUGUUGGAGGGUUGAAGGUGGUUUGUGUGAAGGUUCAGUCUCAGGCCAGCCCCUAUGCAUCGUUUUUCCACACAGUGGGGGAGCUAGUGGGUUUUUUCUCCUCCCUCCUUCCCUCCGUCCCUCCCUCCCUUCCUUCCUUCCUUCCUUCCUUCCUUCCUUCCUUCCUUCCUUCCUUCCUUCCUUCCUUCCUUCCUCUUUCUUUCCCUCCCUCUCUCCUUUCUCUCUUUUCUUUCCUUUUAAGACAGGGUUUUUCUUCUCUCUCUCUCCU